UGGGGAAUUUUGGACAAUGGGCGAAAGCCUGAUCCAGCAAUGCCGCGUGUGUGAAGAAGGCCUUCGGGUUGUAAAGCACUUUUGUCCGGAAAGAAAUCCUUGGCUCUAAUACAGUCGGGGGAUGACGGUACCGGAAGAAUAAGCACCGGCUAACUACGUGCCAGCAGCCGCGGUAAUACGUAGGGUGCAAGCGUUAAUCGGAAUUACUGGGCGUAAAGCGUGCGCAGGCGGUUUGCUAAGACCGAUGUGAAAUCCCCGGGCUCAACCUGGGAACUGCAUUGGUGACUGGCAGGCUAGAGUAUGGCAGAGGGGGGUAGAAUUCCACGUGUAGCAGUGAAAUGCGUAGAGAUGUGGAGGAAUACCGAUGGCGAAGGCAGCCCCCUGGGCCAAAUACUGACGCUCAUGCACGAAAAGCGUGGGGGAGCAAAACAGGAUUAGAUACCCCUGGUAGUCCACGCCCUAAACGAUGUCAACUAGUUGUUGGGGGAUUCAUUUCCUUAGUAACGUAGCUAACGCGUGAAGUUGACCGCCUGGGGAGUACGGUCGCAAGAUUAAAACUCAAAGGAAUUGACGGGGUCAUAGCUGUUUCCU
Molecule: ribosomal RNA, 591 nt
Filed under: uncultured bacterium
Lineage: Bacteria
Description: partial 16S ribosomal RNA
Rfam family: Bacterial small subunit ribosomal RNA
Source: RNAcentral